RNAcentral lists this ribosomal RNA (547 nucleotides) under uncultured bacterium. RNAcentral's name for it is "bacterial SSU rRNA". It matches the Rfam family "Bacterial small subunit ribosomal RNA", at positions 356 to 896 of the family's 1533-position model. The record is from RNAcentral.
AGGGAAUCUUCCGCAAUGGGCGAAGGCCUGACGGAGCAACGCCGCGUGAGUGAAGAAGGAUUUCGGUUCGUAAAGCUCUGUUGUUAGGGAAGAAUGAUUGUGUAGUAACUAUACACAGUAGAGACGGUACCUAACCAGAAAGCCACGGCUAACUACGUGCCAGCAGCCGCGGUAAUACGUAGGUGGCAAGCGUUGUCCGGAAUUAUUGGGCGUAAAGCGCGCGCAGGUGGUUUAAUAAGUCUGAUGUGAAAGCCCACGGCUCAACCGUGGAGGGUCAUUGGAAACUGUUAAACUUGAGUGCAGGAGAGAAAAGUGGAAUUCCUAGUGUAGCGGUGAAAUGCGUAGAGAUUAGGAGGAACACCAGUGGCGAAGGCGGCUUUUUGGCCUGUAACUGACACUGAGGCGCGAAAGCGUGGGGAGCAAACAGGAUUAGAUACCCUGGUAGUCCACGCCGUAAACGAUGAGUGCUAAGUGUUGGUCUCAUAAGAGAUCAGUGCUGCAGCUAACGCAUUAAGCACUCCGCCUGGGGAGUACGACCGCAAGGUUG